CGGAUUGUAGUCUGCAACCCGACUACAUGAAGCUGGAAUCGCUAGUAAUCGCGAAUCAGAAUGUCGCGGUGAAUACGUUCCCGGGUCUUGUACACACCGCCCGUCACACCAUGGGAGUCGGAAAUGCCCGAAGUCUGUGACCGAACCGAGAGGGAGGAGCAGCCGAAGGCAGGUCGGAUGACUGGGGUGAAGUCGUAACAAGGUAAC
This 207-nucleotide ribosomal RNA is filed under the name uncultured bacterium. Its description in RNAcentral is "partial 16S ribosomal RNA". It matches the Rfam family "Bacterial small subunit ribosomal RNA", at positions 1294 to 1500 of the family's 1533-position model. The record is from RNAcentral.